AGGCUGAAUGUGGCUGCACAGGAACCAUUUUGAUGCAGUUUUCCUGCACUGGGACAGAGAGCUCUCCACGAGGCUGUCUCAGCCCUCCUCUGCUGAGACAGACUUACUACACAAACUACUGGCUGCACAGGAACCAUUUUGAUGCAGUUUUCCUGCACUGGGACAGAGAGCUCUCCACGAGGCUGUCUCAGCCCUCCUCUGCUGAGACAGACCUACUACACAAACUACACAUAUAUUUUUUUAUAUGGGGUUUGCACCUUCCAGGGUGAGACCCGGAACUCCUCUUUCCAGAAACCACAAAUGACUGUACCACUGUCCAGAAACCAUAAGUGUUAGAAAUUUAUUUCUAUUUUUUUUCCUUCUCUUUUCUCCAGUCCAGAAAAUAAUCUUUUUUGGGUUGUGGGUGGAGAGAAGAUGGUUAAUGAGACAGCUUCAUUAAGAUGAAUAAAAGUUAUCUAAGUAAAGCCAUUCAAUAUUCCCCCAAUUUUGAUCAUUCUGGAAAAUUACUGAAUUAUGUUGGAGAAGUAAAACAAGUAAAGAGGCAUCUCUCCAAAUGUGUAUUUAAGAAUUCAGCGGAGUUGUGUGACCCUGAGUCCCAGAGGUCCUCUAAACAUCUUCCAAUGGGUCUUCCUCUUUUUUUCUAGGGCACCUGACCUCCAGUUGGAGAAGAAGAACACUGCAAAUAACUUUCCAUAUGGAGAGCAUUGCAGCAGUAAAAAUGACUCUGAGCCAGAGUUAGGAAGACUUACAGCCCCAUAUAGCAAUCUGACCUCACAAGACUCUGCAUUUUACUCUGUACCAUGUGGAAGUUGCAUUCAAUAAUGUUUAUGGCCACAUGCUCGUUUGAACGUCUACUGUUUGGGAUAAAGAAAUUUCCUCAGAAAUUAUUUUUACCCAGUCAGGACCCUUCAUCUUGGAUAAAGCUUCAUUCACUCAUGUAUGUGAACUGACUUAGGUUAGUUGAUAAUCAGUUUCAUAGAAGUUCUAGAGAUUCCUGAAAGAGUAUCUCUGUGUGCCAGGGUUUCAGUGGUAAAUAGAAAUUGAAAAUUAAGAAAUCUGAAUGCAGGCAGGUUGCUUAUCUGGGAAUGUAUUGUGUUUAGAUCUAAACGUCAAGUUAUAGCUAUUCUUUUUUCUCCUUCUGAAUUCCUUCCUUUUCUAGCUAUUGAUGGUGGCAAGAGCCUGGUAGGACAUAUUUUUGGAUGCUGCUCUGAAGCCCAGAUUUCAGGAAGACUUUUGAGAUGGGGGCAGAUCAGGUUAAGGGAGCUGGUGUGAAUGAUUCCUUUCAGAAAGGUCAAAACUACGAAUAGGAACAUCACCAAGAACUGAGCCCUCUUUGGGUGGUGGAAACCUGAGCAAUGGUGGGAAUAAUAAUAAUGCCACCUUCAGCAACAAAAACAAUGAAUAUUUACUGAAGAUUUACAUUGUACCAAGUGUUUUUCAUAGAUUUUUAUUUUAGUCACCCUGUAACUUUACUACUCCAAGCUUAUACAAUGAAAAGGCCAAAUCUCAGGUAGAUUUCAUUCAUGGUCACACAGACAGAAGGUGAUGAAACUGAGAUUUGACAUCGGCCAGUUAUAUAGCAUUUGUCUCUACUAUCAUAUAGGUAUGGAGAGUAAGAGCCAGAGAAGUCUUUCAGAUAGUCAGCUACUGCAGCAACAAUACUGUAUAACAAUCAUCCCCAAACUCAUGGCUUAUAACACCCAGCAUUUAUUUUUAUUGCUAAUUGGUCUACAAUUAAGCUGGUAGGCUCAGCUCAGCUCCAGCUUCAAAGUCAGUCAAAUUCAGGUCUACUCCAUGUGUCUCAUUCUGGGUUCCAUUUUGAAAAGUUAGUGCCUUUCUGGGGCUUGCUUUCCUCAUGGUGAUCACAGGAAUUUAAGCUUAUGGACAGAUUCACAUGAUGUCUCUUAAGCCCUUGACCUAAACCUGGUGCACUGUCACUCCCUCACGUACUUUACAUUGGCAAUUGCAAGUUAUAUAGCCAAGCUCCAAUACUGGGGCGGCAGAGAGGGCAAGGAUGCCUGCCAUUGCAGGAGAACCUGGAAAGACAAAUGGCAAAGGAUGCAGAUGUAUAACUCUAAAGCAAGGAGGGCAUGAAUAAUUGAAAACAAGUCUUCUCUAUUACAGGUAGAAUUUCUCAAUUAUAAACCACAUGAGAGCUGAGCCCUAAUCUUUACUUCUUCCACAUUCAAGGUAAAUGAGAGUGAAAAUUCAGAAUUUAGGCCAGUCAAAUAUUUUGUGCUCUUUGAUAAAUCAUAAUGUCUCUUUGUAGACACAAACUUCACAUAAUCAUCAAGAUUUCCUUGGAACACCUAGUUAACUGUGGAAUACUUGCUUUUUUUUUUUUUUUUUUUGAGAGGAAGGCUCACUCUGUGCACUCUGUGGCCCGGGCUGGAGGGGGAAUUUUCUCCUCCUGGGUUCAAGCGAUUCUCCUGCCUCAGCCUCCUGAGUAGCUGGGAUUACAGAUGUGCACACCAUGCCUGGCUAAUUUUUGUAAUUUUAGUAGAGAUGGGGUUUCACCAUAUUGACGAGGAUGGUCUCAAAUCCUGACCUCAAGUGAUCUGCCUGCCUUGGCUUCCCAAAGUGCUGGGAUUACAGGUGUGAGCCACUGUACCCAGCUGAAUGCUUGCACUUUGAUGAGAAUAUCCUUGUUAGGCACACAAAGCCUAAUAAUUCAACCUUUAUUAGUGUCCAGAUACUUUCCCCUUCCCAGAACAACAGUCAUUUUCUGAUUUGCUUGUUUUAAUUUUAUAGCCACUCCCUGUUUGUGUCUCCUUCUUACAUCUGCUGUACUUACAUAUUUAUAUGAAGUGUUGACUACCUUUCAUUCUUUCCUGAGUUAUAAGGCCUAUUUCUAUCAGUUUCCUUCUUCUUGCUUGCCAUUGAUGGAUUCAUUGUUGAUCUUCUAUUUUCUCUCUUCUGGCUAUUUUUGUAGUUUUGUUUACCACUAGUAAUCAAUAAAGACUGCAAUAAAUCCAUUUUUAAAUGAAAUGGACAAAAGAGUGACACCCUCAAAAAAACAGUGAUGGUAAAAUACAUCAAAUACGGAAACAAGUGCUAGACCUGGGGUCUAAAAAAGGGGUGUAAACUCUGCCAUUUUCUUCCUAAUCACAAGCAAACCCCACGGUACAUUUGGACUUUAGCUCUUACUCUGUUAAGCAUGAGGAAAAUAACAUAGAAUUGUACAUUGCAGAAAGACGUAUGUUUAUUAUUGUUCCUAAUAACAAAUAGAAAUGGAAAAUAAACAUUUAUCAGAGGGAAAUGGUUAAAUAAAAAUGAUAUAUCCACAUAAUGGAAAUACAUGUAGUCAUAUAAAUUCUAUAUACAAUAUCAUGGAAAGAUAGACUUGAAAUAAUUGUUAAAUUUUAAAAAUCUUGUUUAUUUUUAAAAAUUUACUUAUAUAUUCAAAAAUUGAAUGUAACCUAGGAACUAGAGCUACAAUAGUGAAAAACAAAAUUGCUUCUCUCAUAGCUUACAUUCUCCUGGCAGAGACAUAAUAAACCAAAUAAAUUUAAACAAUACUAUAAUAUAUUAGGUAAUGAAGCAUGCUAAGAAUAAAUGAGAGUGUGGAAUGGGCUGUGAUACAUUAGUGGACAUUGAAAUUUUAGAUACAUUGUCCAGGGAAGGCUUCCUUGUGAUGGUGACUUGAGAAUUGAGACCUGGAGGAUGCUAACCAUGCUGAUAAUUGGUAGAGGGCAUUCUUAGAGAACCACAAGGGCAAAAGCUCUAAGGUGGGAUUGUGUCUGGUGUUCCAGCAACAGAAAGGGAGCUGUUGGGAUUGUACUUGAGAGAGGGAAGACCAGAAUGCCAUGGAGGCAGAGAAGGAAUGGCAAUGGGAAGGGGAUCACAUCAUGUAGGGUCCUGAAGUUCUUGAUUAGCAUACGCUGGCUUUUAGUUUGAGUGAGAUGCUAAACUCCUUGGGGGUUUUGAGGAAAAGAAGUUGCAGGUUCUGCUUUACAUUAUAACAAGAUCUCUUGGGUUGCUGUUUUCAGAACUGACUGAUGUGGGAAAGGGGAGGAGCUGAACAGCAUUUGAGAGGCUACUCUGAUAAUCCAAAUAAGGUACAAUAAUCAUAAUAGGGUGGUGGCUUGGGAUGGUUUCCAGAUAUGUAUAUAGGGUAGAAUCAACAAGAUUUGCUGAUGGGCCAGUUUGGAUGUGAGAGAAAUUGAGAAUGACUUAAAAGAUUUUUAAUCUGAGCAUGGGAGGGUUUGAGUUCCAGUAAAUGAGAAUCAAGGAUAGCUGCAGGAAGAAGUAUGACAAUUCAUAGUAAAAUAUCUGAAUUAAUAUAUGUCACCUUGAUUACUCUCUUGAUUACACCUCCUGUUACCUCUGGAGGGUAUAAUCGCAAAGAAAUGAAAAUGAGUUUUCAUUAUUUUAUUUUGCCUCCUUCCAUAUCGACAGACUUGCUUAUAAUACAUUUGUUUUUAUUCAUUAUGUUGCAAUGGAAAAAAGAACACUUCUGAUGUUCUUGGGUGAAUCAAUUUCAUACAGGGUCUUCAUGGUUAUAUGAAUGUAUGUCACAGGUAUUCUUAUGAGUAAUUAAAUGAAUAAUGCCAUAAUUUUCAGUCCAUUUCUUGGUUGCAGAAAUCGAGCAAAAUGUGGCUGAUAAAAUAUGUGUAAUAAUUAAUUUUACUGUAUUUGGAAAUGUGAUGUAUUCCU
RNAcentral lists this long non-coding RNA (4656 nucleotides) under Homo sapiens (human). Its description in RNAcentral is "HSALNT0174203". Lineage: Eukaryota; Metazoa; Chordata; Mammalia; Primates; Hominidae. The record is from RNAcentral.